GGAGUUAGCCGGUGCUUCUUCUGUGAGUGAUGUCCUUCCUGCCGGCUAUUAACCCGCAGGCCUUCUUCCUCACUGAAAGUGCUUUACAACCCGAAGGCCUUCUUCACACACGCGGCAUGGCUGGAUCAGGGUUGCCCCCAUUGUCCAAUAUUCCCCACUGCUGCCUCCCGUAGGAGUCUGGGCCGUGUCUCAGUCCCAGUGUGGCUGAUCAUCCUAUCAGACCAGCUACGGAUCGUCGCCUUGGUGAGCCGUUACCUCACCAACCAGCUAAUCCGACAUAGGCUCAUCCGAUAGCGCGAGGCCCGAAGGUCCCCCGCUUUCCCCCGUAGGGCGUAUGCGGUAUUAGCCUGGGUUUCCCCAGGUUAUCCCCCACUACCGGGCAGAUUCCUAUGCAUUACUCACCCGUCCGCCGCUCGCCACCAGGGAGCAAGCUCCCCGUGCUGCCGCUCGACUUGCAUGUGUUAGGCCUGCCGCCAGCGUUCAAUCUGAGCCAGAUCAAACUCUGA
This 506-nucleotide ribosomal RNA is filed under the name uncultured bacterium. RNAcentral describes it as "partial 16S ribosomal RNA". The record is from RNAcentral.